This 403-nucleotide ribosomal RNA is filed under the name uncultured bacterium. Its description in RNAcentral is "partial 16S ribosomal RNA". It matches the Rfam family "Bacterial small subunit ribosomal RNA", at positions 30 to 526 of the family's 1533-position model. The record is from RNAcentral.
AUUGAACGCUGGCGGCAGGCCUAACACAUGCAAGUCGAGCGAGCGGCGGACGGGUGAGUAAUGUAUGGGGACUGCCCGAUAGAGGGGGAUAACUACUGGAAACGGUGGCUAAUACCGCAUACUAUCGGAUAACCCAUAUGGGAUUAGCUAGUAGGUGGGGUAAAGGCUCACCUAGGCGACGAUCUCUAGCUGGUCUGAGAGGAUGAUCAGCCACACGGGGACUGAGACCAGGCCCAGCCUCCUACGAAGGCAGCAGUGGGGAAUAUUGCACAAGGGUCGCAAGACUGAUGCAGCCAUGCCGCGUGUAUGAGGAAGGCCUGAGGGUUGUAAAGUACUUUCAGCGAGGAGUCGUUACCCGCAUAAGAAGCACCGGCUAACUCCGUGCCAGCAGCCGCGGUAAUUC